RNAcentral lists this ribosomal RNA (378 nucleotides) under uncultured bacterium. RNAcentral describes it as "bacterial SSU rRNA". It matches the Rfam family "Bacterial small subunit ribosomal RNA", at positions 47 to 421 of the family's 1533-position model. The record is from RNAcentral.
CCUAACACAUGCAAGUCGAACGGUAACAGGAAACAGCUUGCUGUUUUGCUGACGAGUGGCGGACGGGUGAGUAAUGUCUGGGAAACUGCCUGAUGGAGGGGGAUAACUACUGGAAACGGUAGCUAAUACCGCAUAACGUCGCAAGACCAAAGAGGGGGACCUUCGGGCCUCUUGCCAUCGGAUGUGCCCAGAUGGGAUUAGCUAGUAGGUGGGGUAACGGCUCACCUAGGCGACGAUCCCUAGCUGGUCUGAGAGGAUGACCAGCCACACUGGAACUGAGACACGGUCCAGACUCCUACGGGAGGCAGCAGUGGGGAAUAUUGCACAAUGGGCGCAAGCCUGAUGCAGCCAUGCCGCGUGUAUGAAGAAGGCCUUCGG